Molecule: ribosomal RNA, 253 nt
Filed under: uncultured bacterium
Lineage: Bacteria
Description: partial 16S ribosomal RNA
Rfam family: Bacterial small subunit ribosomal RNA
Source: RNAcentral
UACAGAGGUGGCAAGCGUUGUUCGGAAUUACUGGGCGUAAAGGGCGCGUAGGCGGCUCGAUAAGUCCCGCGUGAAAUCCCCCGGCUCAACUGGGGAACUGCGCGGGAAACUGCCGAGCUUGAGUUCGGGAGAGGGAAGCGGAAUUCCGGGUGUAGCGGUGAAAUGCGUAGAUAUCCGGAGGAACACCGGUGGCGAAGGCGGCUUCCUGGACCGACACUGACGCUGAGGCGCGAAAGCGUGGGGAGCAAACAGG